This is a long non-coding RNA of Ruditapes philippinarum (Manila clam), 384 nucleotides long. RefSeq lists it as uncharacterized. The record is from RefSeq and is a predicted model, not a curated record. Lineage: Eukaryota; Metazoa; Mollusca; Bivalvia; Venerida; Veneridae. The transcript has 3 exons.
CAUAAUCAAACUAACUUCUUGAAAGCAGACGAUAUAUGGUAUGUUAAUGUGGUCGGAAUUGAGGAACACGAAUGUUCAGUAGUUGUUAAGAAGACAGAUUCAAAGAUGAAAGUAACCACCAAAGUUUGUUGUGAAGUUGUUUCCCUGCUUAUACUAUCUCUAACGUUACUCAGUGCCUGUUUAGCUGCCCCAUUAGACACAUAUUACCAAAACAGAUGAUUCCGAACUAAUAAAUCCACAGAGGUUGCAGCUUCUCAAAGAGCUUAAGGACAUGAUUGAAAUAGAAGAAAGAAAUAAACAAGAAGAAAUGGGUAAACCUUUUGUUCCCACAAAUGAUGCUACAGGACUAAUGCGCGUUAUGCCACAAAAGAGAUUUCGACUAUU